Molecule: ribosomal RNA, 1489 nt
Filed under: Lactiplantibacillus plantarum
Lineage: Bacteria; Bacillati; Bacillota; Bacilli; Lactobacillales; Lactobacillaceae
Also listed under: 1 other name
Description: bacterial SSU rRNA
Rfam family: Bacterial small subunit ribosomal RNA
Source: RNAcentral
GACGAACGCUGGCGGCGUGCCUAAUACAUGCAAGUCGAACGAACUCUGGUAUUGAUUGGUGCUUGCAUCAUGAUUUACAUUUGAGUGAGUGGCGAACUGGUGAGUAACACGUGGGAAACCUGCCCAGAAGCGGGGGAUAACACCUGGAAACAGAUGCUAAUACCGCAUAACAACUUGGACCGCAUGGUCCGAGCUUGAAAGAUGGCUUCGGCUAUCACUUUUGGAUGGUCCCGCGGCGUAUUAGCUAGAUGGUGGGGUAACGGCUCACCAUGGCAAUGAUACGUAGCCGACCUGAGAGGGUAAUCGGCCACAUUGGGACUGAGACACGGCCCAAACUCCUACGGGAGGCAGCAGUGGGGAAUCUUCCACAAUGGACGAAAGUCUGAUGGAGCAACGCCGCGUGAGUGAAGAAGGGUUUCGGCUCGUAAAACUCUGUUGUUAAAGAAGAACAUAUCUGAGAGUAACUGUUCAGGUAUUGACGGUAUUUAACCAGAAAGCCACGGCUAACUACGUGCCAGCAGCCGCGGUAAUACGUAGGUGGCAAGCGUUGUCCGGAUUUAUUGGGCGUAAAGCGAGCGCAGGCGGUUUUUUAAGUCUGAUGUGAAAGCCUUCGGCUCAACCGAAGAAGUGCAUCGGAAACUGGGAAACUUGAGUGCAGAAGAGGACAGUGGAACUCCAUGUGUAGCGGUGAAAUGCGUAGAUAUAUGGAAGAACACCAGUGGCGAAGGCGGCUGUCUGGUCUGUAACUGACGCUGAGGCUCGAAAGUAUGGGUAGCAAACAGGAUUAGAUACCCUGGUAGUCCAUACCGUAAACGAUGAAUGCUAAGUGUUGGAGGGUUUCCGCCCUUCAGUGCUGCAGCUAACGCAUUAAGCAUUCCGCCUGGGGAGUACGGCCGCAAGGCUGAAACUCAAAGGAAUUGACGGGGGCCCGCACAAGCGGUGGAGCAUGUGGUUUAAUUCGAAGCUACGCGAAGAACCUUACCAGGUCUUGACAUACUAUGCAAAUCUAAGAGAUUAGACGUUCCCUUCGGGGACAUGAAUACAGGUGGUGCAUGGUUGUCGUCAGCUCGUGUCGUGAGAUGUUGGGUUAAGUCCCGCAACGAGCGCAACCCUUAUUAUCAGUUGCCAGCAUUAAGUUGGGCACUCUGGUGAGACUGCCGGUGACAAACCGGAGGAAGGUGGGGAUGACGUCAAAUCAUCAUGCCCCUUAUGACCUGGGCUACACACGUGCUACAAUGGAUGGUACAACGAGUUGCGAACUCGCGAGAGUAAGCUAAUCUCUUAAAGCCAUUCUCAGUUCGGAUUGUAGGCUGCAACUCGCCUACAUGAAGUCGGAAUCGCUAGUAAUCGCGGAUCAGCAUGCCGCGGUGAAUACGUUCCCGGGCCUUGUACACACCGCCCGUCACACCAUGAGAGUUUGUAACACCCAAAGUCGGUGGGGUAACCUUUUAGGAACCAGCCGCCUAAGGUGGGACAGAUGAUUAGGGUG